AGCUCCAAUAGCGUAUAUUAAUUUUGUUGCAGUUAAAAAGCUCGUAGUUGGAUUUCUUUUAUGUUAAAGGGUACGGAUGCAUGUUUCACUCUGUGAUUCACAUCUUCCUUUAAUAUGAAAUAUUUUGUGAUAUCUUGUAUUUGGAAAAUUCGUUUUAGUCAUUUAUUUGGUUAUUAUGGAGAUUCUAGUACAUUUUAAGGUAUUGCAUCGUUUACUGUGAAAAAAUCAAAGCGUUCAAAGCAGGCUUUAUGCUCUCUGAAUGUCUCAGCAUGGAAUAAUAAAAUAGGUCUCAUCCUCAUUUUGUUGGUUUGCAAGGAAGAGAAAUGAUUAACAGGGACAGUUGGGGGUAUUCGUAUUAGAUUGUCAGAGGUGAAAUUCUUGGAUUUAUUUAAGACGAACAACUGCGAAAGCAUUUACCAAGGAUGUUUUCA
RNAcentral lists this ribosomal RNA (431 nucleotides) under uncultured eukaryote. Its description in RNAcentral is "SSU rRNA". It matches the Rfam family "Eukaryotic small subunit ribosomal RNA", at positions 587 to 972 of the family's 1831-position model. The record is from RNAcentral.